UCAUUUGUUUUUUAAUUGAAGACUGGAAUGAAAGGUAUAACGUGAAAAUUGGUGUCUUGAUUAAAGAAUUUGAAAUUUAUUUUUUUGUUAAAAAGCAAAGAUAAGGUUAAUAGACGAGAAGACCCUAUUGAGCUUGAUUUGUUAGAUUUAUAUAUAGAUUAUUAUAAUAAGUUGAAGUAAAUUUUACUGGGGCGGUAGAAGGAAUUUAAGUAUCUCUUUUUUUAAAAAUUAUUGGUUAAUAUAUUUUUAUCCAAGGCGUUUGAGAAAUAAAAAGUUACCAUAGGGAUAACAGCGUAAUUUUUUUGUAGAGUUCUUAUCGAUAGAAAAGUUUGCGACCUCGAUGUUGGAUUAGGGAUCCUAAUUAGCGCAUAAGUUGAUUAAGGUAGUCUGUUCGACUAUUGAAUUCCUACAUGAUCUGAGUUCA
This 424-nucleotide ribosomal RNA is filed under the name Sphaeromimus splendidus. RNAcentral's name for it is "partial 16S ribosomal RNA". It matches the Rfam family "Bacterial large subunit ribosomal RNA", at positions 1965 to 2613 of the family's 2925-position model. Lineage: Eukaryota; Metazoa; Arthropoda; Diplopoda; Sphaerotheriida; Sphaerotheriidae. The record is from RNAcentral.